CUCAGGUCAUGGCAACAGCCCUACCAAGUUGGCUGGUAGUGACCACAGUUAAGUUUUGGGCUAGGAAAGAGAAAUAUUUGGCUAGUCAAUUAAAACCGAGAAAGCUGGUUAACUCUGAAGGCCUCAGCUCAUCCAACUGAGAGCAGAUUAGCCCAGAUGGAGACAUUUUCAACACGGUGCUGUCUGGCCAAUCAGAGACAGCUGGGAUUAGCCAAAUACCUUCUCUCAUCUGCUUGCUCACAGAAAGGCCAACAUAUUCAAAGUCCAAAUAAUGUAUUUCUUCAAAAGUGACCAUUCUGGCUAAUAUGAUCCACUCUUACCUGGCGCCCACGAAUUGGCCUUCUCUCUUCACCUCCACUCUGGAUUUCGACCUGAAGUUUGACCUCCAUGGGUCUUCAGUUUAAAGGGCAAGCCCUAGGAAAUGCAGAAAGAGUUCAGAUAAUUGUGGGCCUUCUUUGGUUCUUUUUGCCCUAUGAGUUCCUGCUCCUGCUUUCAGUUUUGGACUGGAGCAACCAGCUGGCGCUCUACCAGUAUCUGGGAGCUGUAUUAUGAAAGCCAAGCUUUGGGGAUGAUAAAGCAAAAAGGCCCCUGAUAGUACCAUGGAACUCCCUGACCAGCAAUGAAGGGGCUCCUUCCAGACUCCUUUAGCACAACAGAAAAAUAAACUUCUAUCUUAUUUAAACUACUGCCAUUUCCUGUCUCUGAUACUAGUAGCUCAACAUACUUUUUCUAAGUGAUUCAGACCAUUAUAAAUUUCUGUUGCCGGUAAUUGGACAUAUGUAGCAGACAAACUAAUCCCAUUAAGACUAGUGUGUUAUUUUUUACCCCACAAUUGAAGACUCUUUUUGAUUGGCUUAAAUCAGUGGUUCUCCACUGAGGGUGGUUUUCUCCCCCUCCCCCCAGGAUAUCUGACAACAUCUGGAGACACUUUGGUGGUCACAGCUGGGGGAGGGGGGGCUUGUACUGGCAUCUAGUGGGUAGAGGCCAGACAUGCUGCUAUUGUCUUAUGGUGCACAGGACGCAGCCCUGCAACAAAAAAUUAUCCAGACCAAAAUAUUAAUGGUGCCAAGGUUAAGAAGCCCUGGGUUAAAUCUUUAUUAAUUAAGUUGCUUACGCAGCCCACCUAACCAUUAACUGUUGAUUAAUGUUUUUUUUUUUGUAAUGUGAGCCUACUUUUUGACUUUGCCUACACAGAAAAUGGUCAUUUUUCCUUACAUCAUAAGGUAAAGUUUAUUAAAUAAAGGUGUGUUUUACUUUUGUGACUAGAUGGCGGAAGUGGGUAAUGAACCAGGUAUCGGCCCGAUGAAUUCUCCUACAGAAAAGUAGAAUAAUACGAAGAAACACAAGAAAGCACCAAGUAAUGAAAAGGCUCAUUGUUACAGACACAACCGUUAAGACAAUGAUGCUGGAGAGUGAAAUAAAGAUGGUGAUGCAGCUCAGUGAACGUUUGAUUGGAAAUGAAGCUGUAGUUGAAUUGGGAAUUGAGACACUGGAAUAAGAUUCCUACUAUGGGAAAGUGGGUAAAGUUGAAAGAAGUCCUUUUCUCAAACCCCAUCUCUAAGAAUUCCUCACUUUCCUCUUGGAAAGAAGAAAAAAAGGAAAGAGGGAAGGAAGGGAGGAAAGAAGGAGAAUGAAGGAAGGAAGAGAGGGAGAGAAGGAGGGAGGGAAGAAAUGAACAAUUGUCUGGCACUAAAAUGUAAUUGAACCUAUGAGUGAUAAUUUAAAACUAGCCAAAAUUAAACUAAGUAAAAACAAAAUGCACACAGCCUCCCUAAAGUACGGAAUGACUCUGUACUUGUCAGCAAAGUAAACCUCAUCUAGCAUUAAACAGUAUUUAUAGGUAACUUUACAAUCAUUGCUAUCAACCGAAAAAAGCUACAAUAAUCCGAUUGCCAUCACUUUAACCAAAGCCCG
Molecule: long non-coding RNA, 1914 nt
Organism: Equus caballus (horse)
Lineage: Eukaryota; Metazoa; Chordata; Mammalia; Perissodactyla; Equidae
Source: Ensembl